UGCUGAGCUGAGACAGACACUAUUGGACCAGACACUACCAUGUCUCCCUGCUGAGCUGAGACAGACACUAUUGGACCAGACACUACCAUGUCUCCCUGCUGAGCUGAGACAGACACUAUUGGACCAGACACUACCAUGUCCCCCUGCUGAGCUGAGACAGACACUAUUGGACCAGACACUACCAUGUCUCCCUGCUGAGCUGAGACAGACACUAUUGGACCAGACACUACCAUGUCUCCCUGCUGAGCUGAGACAGACACUAUUGGACCAGACACUACCACCAGUUCAACAACAGGUCUGGAGAGGAGAACAUGAGAGACAGAGAGCUCUGAGGGGUCACCCACAACAGUUCAUCAACAGGUCUGGAGAGGAGAACAUGAGAGACAGAGAGCUCUGAGAGGUCACCCACAACAGUUCAUCAACAGGUCUGGAGAGGAGAACAUGAGAGACAGAGAGCUCUGAGAGGUCACCCAUAACAGUUCACCAACAGGUCUGGAGAGGAUGGGAGAUCAUGAGAGGCAGAGAGCUCUGAGAGGUCACCCAUAACAGUUCAUCAACAGGUCUGGAGAGGAGAACAUGAGAGACAGAGAGCUCUGAGGGGUCACCCAUAACAGUUCACCAACAGGUCUGGAGAGGGUGGGUAGUUUUACAUUCAAGAAGCUGACGUUUUGGGAAACAUGAGGCGUCUGAAAUGUGGAAGUCGUAAAGUUGUGUUUGUAGGAUGUUGCUGGGUUCCUUAUUCUGGACAGGAAUGAUGUUCAGUUACCAGACACAGCUGGUUGUUGUCAACGACCUCUGACCUCCGUAUACUUCCACUUCUCUAUUCAAUGGAAACAGUCCGUCCAAACGUCCUGAUGGCAUUUGGUGGAACAAUGAACACACUCAGUAUAAUACAUCUUCUGGAACCUCCCAAAGACACCUCUCUGUCCUCCUGUCCAAUACGACACGUACAGGUGACAGACAGACAGACAGACAGACAGACA
Oncorhynchus tshawytscha (Chinook salmon) is the source of this 983-nucleotide long non-coding RNA. NCBI's taxonomy places the organism in Eukaryota, Metazoa, Chordata, Actinopteri, Salmoniformes, Salmonidae. The record is from Ensembl.